Molecule: ribosomal RNA, 678 nt
Filed under: uncultured archaeon
Lineage: Archaea
Description: bacterial SSU rRNA
Rfam family: Archaeal small subunit ribosomal RNA
Source: RNAcentral
AGACUGGAACACGCCUGACGGUGAGGGACGAAAGCCAGGGGAGCGAACGGGAUUAGAUACCCCGGUAGUCCUGGCUGUAAACGAUGCGUGCUAGGUGUUGGUAGGGCUUUGAGCUGUAUCAGUGCCGUAGGGAAACUGUUAAGCGCGCCCCCUGGGAAGUACGUUCGCAAGAAUGAAACUUAAAGGAAUUGGCGGGGGAGCACCACAAGGGGUGAAGCUUGCGGUUCAAUUGGACUCAACGCCGGGAAACUUACCGGGGGCGACAGCAGAAUGAAGGUCAGGUUGACGACCUUACCAGACAAGCUGAGCGGAGGUGCAUGGCCGUCGCCAGUUCGUGCCGUGAGGUAUCCUGUUAAGUCAGGCAACGAACGAGACCCACACACUUAGUUGCCAACGAAAGCCUACGGGUUUGUCGGGAACGCUAAGUGGACCGCCACCAUAUAGGUGGAGGAAGGAGUGGGCCACGGCAGGUCAGUAUGCCCCUAAUCCCCCGGGCCACACGCGGGCUGCAAUGGUAUGGACAAUGGGUAGCGACUCUGAAAAGAGAAGCCAAUCUCGAAACCAUAUCUCAGUUGGGAUUGAUGGCUGUAACUCGCCGUCAUGAACGUGGAAUCCCUAGUAAUCGUGUGUCAUCAUCGCACGGUGAAUACGUCUCUGCUCCUUGCACACACCGCCCGU